Mirounga angustirostris (Northern elephant seal) is the source of this 4472-nucleotide RNA transcript. It is a transcript of the gene named nudix hydrolase 16 like 1, with no coding region annotated. NCBI's taxonomy places the organism in Eukaryota, Metazoa, Chordata, Mammalia, Carnivora, Phocidae. The record is from RefSeq and is a predicted model, not a curated record. The transcript has 6 exons.
CAAGAUGUCGGCGGCGGUGCCGGAGCUGAAGCAGAUCAGCCGGGUGGAGGCUAUGCGCCUGGGGCCGGGCUGGAGCCAUUCGUGCCACGCCAUGCUGUACGCCGCCAACCCCGGGCAGCUUUUCGGCCGCAUCCCCAUGCGCUUCUCGGUGCUGAUGCAGAUGCGCUUCGACGGGCUGCUGGGUUUUCCCGGGGGCUUCGUGGACCGGCGCUUUUGGUCUCUGGAGGACGGUCUGAACCGGGUGCUGGGCCUGGGCCUAGGCUGCCUGCGCCUCACGGAGGCCGACUAUCUGAGCUCGCACCUGACCGAGGGCCCGCACCGCGUCGUGGCGCACCUGUACGCACGGCAGCUGACGCUGGAGCAGCUGCACGCUGUGGAGAUCAGCGCGGUGCAUUCGCGCGACCACGGCCUGGAGGUGGGGCCGCCGCCCGGGCCCCGCCCCCCGCCCCGGGGUUUGGCUCUGGCUCCGUGGAAGGCACCGAUGGGUGCUGGGGCUUGUGCGCGUCCCACUUUAUACCCAAAAGGACCGAGUUGGUGGCUUUCCCAACUUCCUGAGCAACGCCUUUACCAGCACCGCCAAGUACCAGCUGCUCUUCGCUCUCAAGGUGCUCAACAUGAUGCCCGAGGAGAAACUGGCUGAGGCUUUGGCCGCUGCCACUGAGAAGCAGAAGAAAGCGCUGGAGAAGCUCCUCCCGUCUUCCUCCUGAGCACAGGCUGCAGGCAGCUCCAGGACAUGGUAUGGAAGCACGGGCCGAGUGUGCAGAAUGACAACCGCCGAGCCACCACAGACGGGAAGGUCACCACUGGCCCUAUGUCCGGAAGGACUUCUCAGUGAAGCUAACAAAGUUUCCACAGCACCUGCUUGGCCUGGUCGCUCUCAGUGAGGGUCAGGAAGAUGCGGAGGUCCACGUCCUGCUCCUCGAACACCUGCAGCUCGCUCCCAUGCGGUCCAGGAUCUAUGCCACCAGGAGGAGACUGUGGUCCCGCCCAGGCAGAAGAUGGAGGAGUCAUAAAGAAUAAAAGGACAAGGGAAGAGGGGUAACCGAGGCAAAGGCAGCUCUGUGAAUCUGAACCUCCCCGCACAUCCUCUCAAACCUGACAAGUCAGCAAAGGCAACAGAGCCACAUGAAUCCCACCCCUUCCCCAGAAGUGGGACAACAGAGAGCACCCCAACAGCCCUGUUCCUCGCUCCUAUGGAGAGAAGCCACGUCCAUUUCUCUUCUUGCAGAGAGACUUCUUGCUCAUGCACACCUAGUCUCCACAGAGAGCGAGCAGGUCUAGAAGAAAGCCACACCGGAGAGAGACAAGGGGACAGAAGUGCCGUGUUCCCAGAAAAAGUCCAUCCUGUGGCAGAAAAAUCGUCCUGGCGGAGGAAAGCACAGCCCCAGAGAAGCAACUUAAAAAUGCACAUGGGACAUGACGGAGCAGAACAGCCCCACUCCUGGCAGACACCUUGUGGAAACUGAGCAGUGAAUAGGAAAGCAAGUGGGGGAACUCCAGGAUCUGGCAAGACAAAAACAUAGCAAGGACACACAGGGCCUGGCCUCACUACAUACACCCCCCCUCCAAAAACAAAAACAACCAAAAAAGGACCAUCUAGCAAGGACUCCCCUGGAGACAUUGGGGAGGGAGUCCUGAAGCAGGAUGCUCACACCAGCCAGGCCUCUGAGCCCAGAAGCUCCAGCCCUCUCCACACACAGCUACUCCAGGGAGGACACAGGAACCGGGGGCAAAACACCGCAGCGAGUAAAGACGCCCCUCCCUCCGAACCACCACCACCAAAGAGGUAGAAGAAAGCUAACACGACACUCUGCACGGAUACAUCCUUAAACAAGUGUGGAGAGUGGAGAAAGCAUCCUGGUUCAGAAAUUCAAAACUGAGAACAGAAAGACACAGGCACACACUUGCAACGGUGAGAAAGGAAAAUGGAACUCAGGAAAGAGGUAGAAAACAAAGGUUAACAGGGCACCUGGCUGGCUCAGUCAGUGGAGUAGGCAACUCUUGACCUUGGGGUUGUGAGUCCAAGCCCCAUGCUGCGCGCAGAGAUGACUUAAAAACAGAAUCUUUAAAAAAAAAAAAAAAAAAAAAAGGAAGGGGGACGCCUGGGUGGCUCAGUUGUUAAGCAUCUGCCUUCGGCUCAGGUCAUGAUCUCAGGGGUCCUGGGAUCGAGCCCUGCGUUGGGCUCCCUGCUCGGCCGGGAGCCUGCUUCUCCCUCUCCCACUCCCCCUGCUUGUGUUCCCUCUCUCGCUGUGUCUCUUUCUGUCAAAUAAAUAAAUAAAAUCUUAAAAAAAAAAAAAAGAAUGCAAGUGAUGACCUCUGAGAAGCUUGUAAACCGCUAAAACAAAACAAAACAAAAUAAAGGUCAAAUUUUUUAAAAUGAAGACUCAGUCACGAGGUGCUCAAGGCAGAAGACAUUUGAGUGGAAAAGCAGUACUGCGGGAAAGUGAGAAAACCACCAAAGACUGAACAAGAAAGGGGAGAGAGAGAGGAUUGAGUCGGGAGGCAGGCGAGACUGAAACGAUACAGGAAAAUAACCACUGGAACUUCUUAGAAGGAGACAGAGAAACGGUUCUGCAGACCUCUGUGUGAGUUGAAGUUUGAAAUCCUGCAGGAAAGGAUUUCCUAGGAAAAUGCAGUUUACCAUACCUGGCCCCCAUGAAACAUGAGAAAGCAUAAGCAGACCAGUUUCUAUGGAAGAAACAGAAAAACGUACCACAAAGAAAGACCAAGUCCAGAUGGUUUCACAGAAUCCUGCCAAACCUUCAAAAAUCACAGGGCAUCCAUGCUGUAUAAAUUGGUCCAGAGCACAAAAAAGGAAGGAAGACUCAAAUUCUCUGAGAUACACUGAUGUCUACACCCGAUAAAACAGAAUCAAAGACCAGUAUCAUUUAUAAAUGAAUAGCCAUACAGAAACACUAAAUAAAAAACUGGCAAACACAAUCCAACAUCACAUUAAGAAAAUACACCACAUCGGAUUUAUACCAACAACAUAAAGUUGGUUCAUUAUUAGGAAAUUCACUAAUAUACUCUAUUAGUAGAUCUAAAGAGAAAAUUAACAGUUUUCUUCGUAGAUGCUGAAAAAGCCUUUGACAAAAUUCUACACUUAUUCCUGUAAAAAACAGUCAGGAAUACAGAAAAUGCCAGAUACUUUCUUAACAUGAGAGAAGACAUGUACACCUUACCCUUAAAGCCAGCAUCUCACCUAAGGUGGCAUUUCCACUAAGGUUAGGAUGAGGUGCAUGCCCACUGUCCCCAACACAUUCAACCCCUUACGAGAAGUAUUACCCAGUGCAACUAAAUGAAAGAAAUCAGAGGUACACAAGUCAGAGAGAAGCAGUAAAUCUAUCUCUAUGGGCAGCCUGUCUGGUAGCAUACAUGGAAAACCCUGGAAAAUCAAUAAAUUCAAGCAAUGAAAGAAUUCAGUAGAGCAGCAGAAUAUAAAACUGGCAAGCAGAGGCGCCUGGGGGGCUCAGUCAGUUAAGUGUCUGCCUUCAGCUCAGGUCAUGAUCCCAGAGUCUUGGGAUCGAGCCCCGCAUCAGGCUCCCUGCUCCGCAGGAAGCCUGCUUCUCCCUCUCCCACUCCCCCUGCUUGUGCUCCUGCUCUCGCUCUCUCUCUGUCAAAUAAAUAAAAUAAAUAAAAUAAAAUAAAACUGGCAAGCAGACGCCAACAGCCUUCACACUCAGACAAUAGGCAGAGGACGUGAAGGCAGUGAAACUCCAUGCAACAAAGAAAGACACUUAGGAAGAAAAAAAAGUUAUAUGCACAAUGUCUAGGAGGAAAAAUUUUAAACUCUCCUGUAGACACAAAAGUACACCUGAACAAAAGACGUCCCUUGUUACAGAGGAUGACUCAAAAGCAUAAAGGGGUAGUUGGCUUACAAAUCUGCCAGUCUCAAUAACACGGUUUCCAAGCAGCUAGACAAGUUGAUGUUCAAGUUUACACAGAAAAAUACACGAGCAAUACUAGGGAACACUGAACAGGGAAAGCUGCAGGGGGACUGGCCGACCAGACAGUCCAACGUACUACAAAAAGCCUCUGCAAGCUGUCAACAGUGUGGGUCUGGUGUGUGGACAGACAGACCCGGGGAACAGAAUAGCAAGUCCAGAAACAGACCUGGGCACAGAUGGAAAUUCGGAAUACAUGACAAAGACAACCUCUCAGAUCACUAGGUCAAAGAUGGACUGUUAAAUAGUUUAAUGAAGCCAGGACAACGGGGAAGCCAUCUGAGAACACCACACCUCACGCCACGCAUGACAAUAAAGUACAAAGGAUCAAAGAUGUAAACAAAAAAUGAAACCAUGUAAGUACCAGAAGAAAAUGGGCGAAUUCUUGUACAACCAGGAAACAGGGAAAGAUCUUCUGUGACCCCAAAUCUAAAAGCAAUAAAAGACUGAUGAAUGGGAGCCACACCUCAGCGGGGCCGGUGGGAGCUGGCAGCAGGGCCCCAGCAGAGGACCCCAGCGGCACAGGAG